UUACUGCUUUACAGCUGAAAUUAUGUCAAAACUGACCCAUAAAGGUUUUGCAUUCUCAGCACACUUGAGUGAACGAGACGCACCUUCUUCAGGACACUUUCGAGACCUGUUUGAACUCAGAGAUCCGUGAGGCACCAGCAGAAAGAUUGCUGACCCAAACCGUCACAGGCAACAGUUAAAGUCCGGAGCUGGACGAGGGACAGUCUGAGUGUUUCCAAACCUCUGCUGAGAGGAAAAGAUGUCCAUGAAGAUUUAGGGCCUGUCCCGAACGACGUCAAGCAUCACAUCAUUUAAGAGAGAGCUGCAGAUACUAGUGCAAAAUAUCAAUCAGAUUGACAGCAUCUUUAUCAAAACACUGGGACUUUAUGUAAAAAUACAGAUUUACACAGAAACUUGUCUUGUGUUUGAUUAUUCCUGACCACUUCUGACUAGAAACAUCUGACUCAAGAUCUAGAACAUAUACAUUCGACAAUAUCACAUUCAUACUGCAUUCAUAUUUUGUACAGAAUCUUCACAAUCAAGAAGACUUCUAUUUUGCAGCAUGCAGUGAUGUACUAAUUUGCUCAUUUUCAGUAUGCAUCGAAUACCCAGGUCACCUAAUACAGUAUAUCGACUAAAAUGUUGAAGUGUAUAGUAGAAAGACCUGACAUUUAUAGUUACAAAGUGCACACUAUUUAACAUUAUUCAAAUAACAAGCACUUAAAGUAUACACUCUUCAGUAUGCAUUAAGCAGUAUGCUAGCAUUCCAGUCCAAACACAUCUAGAGUCAGUGAUUCUUAACUUCAGAAUACUAAGAUUGAUCUGCUGGAGUGUCAAACACUGCACUGCAUUAGCUGCUUUAUUUAAUGCCUUCGGCCUGAUGUGUGUGUGUUCUCUGGUUCCAUCCUCUUUAUAAACACAGUCUAGUGACGAGUUAUGAUGGCUUUUACAUUUGAUUACUUUGUUGCAAUAUAAAACAUCAGAGAUGUGGGCGUGUCCUGAAACGCUGUACCUGUUUG
Cyprinus carpio (common carp) is the source of this 998-nucleotide long non-coding RNA. RefSeq lists it as uncharacterized. The transcript has 3 exons. Lineage: Eukaryota; Metazoa; Chordata; Actinopteri; Cypriniformes; Cyprinidae. The record is from RefSeq and is a predicted model, not a curated record.